Molecule: ribosomal RNA, 497 nt
Filed under: uncultured bacterium
Lineage: Bacteria
Description: partial 16S ribosomal RNA
Rfam family: Bacterial small subunit ribosomal RNA
Source: RNAcentral
GACGAACGCUGGCGGCGUGCCUAAUACAUGCAAGUUGAGCGCUGAAGGUUGGUACUUGUACCAACUGGAUGAGCAGCGAACGGGUGAGUAACGCGUGGGGAAUCUGCCUUUGAGCGGGGGACAACAUUUGGAAACGAAUGCUAAUACCGCAUAAAAACUUUAAACACAAGUUUUAAGUUUGAAAGAUGCAAUUGCAUCACUCAAAGAUGAUCCCGCGUUGUAUUAGCUAGUUGGUGAGGUAAAGGCUCACCAAGGCGAUGAUACAUAGCCGACCUGAGAGGGUGAUCGGCCACAUUGGGACUGAGACACGGCCCAAACUCCUACGGGAGGCAGCAGUAGGGAAUCUUCGGCAAUAGACGAAAGGCUGACCGAGCAACGCCGCGUGAGUGAAGAAGGUUUUCGGAUCGUAAAACUCUGUUGGUAGAGAAGAACGUUGGUGAGAGUGGAAAGCUCAUCAAGUGACGGUAACUACCCAGAAAGGGACGGCUAACUACGUG